RNAcentral lists this unclassified non-coding RNA (148 nucleotides) under soil metagenome. Its description in RNAcentral is "partial internal transcribed spacer 1". The record is from RNAcentral.
ACAAAAGGGAAAAAAGGCGUGGCGGGCGCAAGCUCGUUUCACGUUCUGCUCCCGAAUCCUGUAUUCACCCCAAGUUCCUUUAAAAUUUCAAAUAAAAAACUUUGCAAAAAGACCACUUUUUAAAGUGGCAUCUAAUUGCACAAAGCGA